Vicia villosa (hairy vetch) is the source of this 748-nucleotide long non-coding RNA. RefSeq lists it as uncharacterized. The record is from RefSeq and is a predicted model, not a curated record. The transcript is spliced from 3 exons. Lineage: Eukaryota; Viridiplantae; Streptophyta; Magnoliopsida; Fabales; Fabaceae.
AACUUAGUAAUAAAAAUUAUGUUUUUUCUUUGCCAAUAAAAAAACAACUAUAUUUUAGGUUAGCGUAUCGUUUCAAUUAUUUUCCAGAAACCUCUUCUUCAAACUCUCGUAGAACUUUCUGUCUUCCAUUCAAUUUUUCAAAUUUGUUUUCCAAUUUCAUUCUUGUUUACCUCAUAAACCAAUUCCAAACAUAUUUUGAUUUUCACCUUAGAGUUUGAAUCGAUUUCCACCGUCGAAACCCAAAUCGGUUUUGACAUUCACCCCCAAAAUCGAUUUCGAAUUUGACCACCAAAAUUACUUUCGACUUUCAUCUCUAAAAUCGAUUUCGAAUUUGACCACCAAAAUUACUUUCGACCAUCAAAGUUCUUCCCUCUUUUUGUUAUCACUUGUCCUAACUCCGGCAGCUUGAUUGGAUGGAAGAUAGAUCUCUUGAUCAAGUAUUAAUAAUUGUAAAAGCUCACACAAACUCUUCCAGAUAGCUUAUUUAUUGAUGUUAAUAGAAGAUGUCCAGGAUAAAGAUAUACUAUAUAGAUGUUAUAGAAAAAUGUUAAUUAGGAUGGCUGAAUGAUUUAAGUCAUAUGAGUUUUAAUAUUGGAGUUCUACAUGUUUUAAGUUUGUUGUAGUUUUAAGAUUGGGUUUAAUUAGAUUGUAGUUUGAUGUUGUAGUUUUAUGAUUGUAAUAUUUGUUGAUGUACAUGAAUAAUGUUCUUUUGCAGUGUAUUUGUACAUAUAAUGACUUGAAGGUUUAA